CUUGGCUCGGUCAUGUGACUGCGCUCCGGCCGCGGCGUGGCGCCGGCUCGGGCGGACCGGGUGCUCCGCACGCCCACCACGUGGAAUCCAAACGACCGCCAGCGUUUAUUCAGCGCUGACUACACCCCAGACGCUGUCAGAAAGAACAAUGGGAACACACAGAAGUAUCUGAAUGCUCAAUUAAUAAAGGAAAACCUCACUGAAGUGGAGUCUGGAGGCUGGAAGGGGGAGCCAUACCACUUCAUGUCAAUUACAGGA
Molecule: long non-coding RNA, 258 nt
Organism: Manis pentadactyla (Chinese pangolin)
Lineage: Eukaryota; Metazoa; Chordata; Mammalia; Pholidota; Manidae
Exons: 3
Source: RefSeq, a predicted model, not a curated record